This is a long non-coding RNA of Aedes aegypti (yellow fever mosquito), 1372 nucleotides long. RefSeq lists it as uncharacterized. The transcript has 2 exons. The record is from RefSeq and is a predicted model, not a curated record. Lineage: Eukaryota; Metazoa; Arthropoda; Insecta; Diptera; Culicidae.
CUUGAUGAUAGGAAUGACGACACAUGUUGUGAUUGAAAACCGUAGUUUACACGUGGGAAUAGCCUACCUUGUUGUGUCUACCGUGGAGAUCACUGUAGAAAAUUUCCUGACCAUUUCUUCCUGAUCAUUGGUAGAGAAUACUUAUCGUUCUUCAUCAUGCAGCAUCGUAAAAUGUUACAAAAAUCGAUUCAAUAUCGGGUAAUAAUCAAAAGAUGCAAUUAACGAAGAGAAGUCGAUCAAUACAGAUACGCCAGUGUGAUACUAAAUGCGAGAUUUUCCGAUCAAUGUUAUCCCGAGUGAUAACGGGCUUUUUAUUGUCGAAAAUAAGUAUAGUCAUUUUGAUCAUUACGCGAGUAACUGACACUGAAGAAGGCUACAAUUGGUGGUCGAAACACGCAUAUCUGUCAAAAGAUAACGCAAUUUGGGCGGAAUGAAGAGGUACUCAAUAUACUUUUAGAUUCUCUUUGAACAUUUUUGUUUAUUUUACAAAUUGAAAUUAUAAGUUGAUUACAUCCCGCAUAGAAAACUACUAUUCUCUAAAAUAGACAAAUAUUUCCUGAACGUAAUGCAAAUGGUUACCUAUUUCAAUUAUGGUCCUCAUGCAUUCUCCCGAUUACGGUAAAACCACACUCAGACAUCAAGUACGCCUGUUACAUUAUCGAUUAUAGUUUACAAAUAUUCUGGUAAGGUAUCCAAACAUUUUGAAAUGUAUCCACCAUUUAACACUAUUUUCAAACUACAUCAUCUGUGGUUUACUGCUGAGCAGCUGCUUUUAAUCGCCUCGCAUUUUGUCGCAAUGUUAAACUCCAGAAAAGUAUUUAUCGCCAAUUAACUGUUCUAAACAUAAUCUAGGAUAGUGUACCGCUCAAUACAAUCGCAGUAUUGCCAAAACAAAUAUCAACACCCGACAGUUUCGGAAACAAAAGAUCGACAUAUCCCGGCACCAUCCAUGACCACCAGCAUCGGAUGCAGGAAUGGAGAGCGAUUACACGGGGUAAUAUUACGAAAAGUACAAUCUGAAGCAGUAUCAGUAGCGGCUGUGAAUAUUCAAUCCGCCGAUGCGGUUCCAGAAAAGACCGCAAGAACGAAUAUGUGUCCCAGCAUUAGCUCAACAUCCCGUUUUCAAUAAUGAUUCAAGUUCAAGCCAUUUAUUACUUUAUAAUUUUCUAAAUAAAUCAAGACAAAUCCCAAUGUCAACAAAUGUUUCUUGUUAUUGUAGAAUCAAACUCCAACUAUAGUUUCAACUCACCGAAUGUGUAAUUUUCAACCUUACUAGAUAUGUUUCUUUUGCUGUUCUCAUUCAAAAUGUAUAUGAGAAAUGACGAGUCUUGGAACGGUAAACAUUCUUAACGACCCGUUGUUCAUAUGGUUG